RNAcentral lists this ribosomal RNA (492 nucleotides) under uncultured bacterium. RNAcentral describes it as "partial 16S ribosomal RNA". It matches the Rfam family "Bacterial small subunit ribosomal RNA", at positions 29 to 507 of the family's 1533-position model. The record is from RNAcentral.
AGUGAACGCUGGCGGUAGGCCUAACACAUGCAAGUCGAACGGCAGCACAGUAAGAGCUUGCUCUUACGGGUGGCGAGUGGCGGACGGGUGAGGAAUACAUCGGAAUCUACUUUUUCGUGGGGGAUAACGUAGGGAAACUUACGCUAAUACCGCAUACGACCUACGGGUGAAAGCAGGGGAUCUUCGGACCUUGCGCGAUUGAAUGAGCCGAUGUCGGAUUAGCUAGUUGGCGGGGUAAGGGCCCACCAAGGCGACGAUCCGUAGCUGGUCUGAGAGGAUGAUCAGCCACACUGGAACUGAGACACGGUCCAGACUCCUACGGGAGGCAGCAGUGGGGAAUAUUGGACAAUGGGCGCAAGCCUGAUCCAGCCAUACCGCGUGGGUGAAGAUGGCCUUCGGGUUGUAAAGCCCUUUUGUUGGGAAAGAAAAGCAGCAGGUUAAUACCCCGCUGUUCUGACGGUACCCAAAGAAUAAGCACCGGCUAACUUCGUG